CUAUGAUGAAUCCUCCAUCUUCAUUACCAUAACUCACCUUUUUUCCUUCACCCCAUAACCCUAACCCUAACCCUAACUUCUUCUAUUCUCAUAUCCACCACCAUCCCUCUUCCAUCACCACCACCAACUCAAUCACUUCACCACCGCCACCUUCGCCUCUGCCGUAGCCUUCUGAUCUCCCAAUCGCUCUCUUAGCACUCAAACACCUCAUCCACCUCUUCGAAACCACCCUCCACUCCAUCUCCACUCUCAUCCCCACAACUGCCACCACCAUCGCCCUCUGUCCUCGCCCUUUCAAUUUUCACCACCGUCAUCUGCCGGAAUCCCUUUUUUGCCACUCCUUCUAAUGCCCUUAUUUCCGUUCCCCUCUUCUCAAUCUCGAUCCCCUUCUAUUCUAAUCACUGUGCUACCCCAACACUCUCAAACCCUUCCAACAACUCUUUAAUUAGAACCGCUUCCUUCAAACCCUACACGAUCCCAACUUCGACCUCUGUUUCUCCCGCAAUGAUUAUUGUGACUUCGGCCCCAAUCUCCUCUACUGUAAUUACCCCAGCGUAGUUAGCUCUACCGAUCGAGAUAGUUUGAGCUGAACCAUUGCUCUCCCAGCUUUCCACUGUUGCCACUGUUGCAGAUGAUGGUUCAUAUUCAUCCCCAGCUUUUCUCCCAAACGAAGGAAGCUUUCGUAUACCGCUGUUGAGAAGGUAGAUAAGAAUGCGAAAUUCAUAGAGGUUGUUGAUUGUGAAGAUAAGGAAGAGGAUGAUUGGCUACCUCCAUCUCCUACAGUUUCAGCUGAUACACUGAAACUUAGUGAGGAUUCAACUAUAAAGGA
Molecule: long non-coding RNA, 829 nt
Organism: Camellia sinensis
Lineage: Eukaryota; Viridiplantae; Streptophyta; Magnoliopsida; Ericales; Theaceae
Source: RefSeq, a predicted model, not a curated record